CAGUAGCCGCGGGAAUACGUAGGUGGCAAGCGUUGUCCGGAAUUAUUGGGCGUAAAGCGCGCGCAGGCGGCCUAUCCAGUCUGUCUUAAAAGUUCGGGGCUCAACCCCGUGAUGGGAUGGAAACUAGUAGGCUAGAGUAUCGGAGAGGAAAGCGGAAUUCCUAGUGUAGCGGUGAAAUGCGUAGAUAUUAGGAAGAACACCAGUGGCGAAGGCGGCUUUCUGGACGAAAGCUGACGCUGAGGCGCGAAAGCCAGGGGAGCGAACGGGAUUAGAUACCCGCGUAGUCCCUGUCUCUUAUACC
RNAcentral lists this ribosomal RNA (301 nucleotides) under uncultured bacterium. RNAcentral's name for it is "partial 16S ribosomal RNA". It matches the Rfam family "Bacterial small subunit ribosomal RNA", at positions 509 to 808 of the family's 1533-position model. The record is from RNAcentral.